RNAcentral lists this non-coding RNA (24 nucleotides) under Arabidopsis thaliana (thale cress). The record is from RNAcentral. Lineage: Eukaryota; Viridiplantae; Streptophyta; Magnoliopsida; Brassicales; Brassicaceae.
AUGGGCACUAAGGUGCAGAUGAGC